AGUCGAACGAACACCUUGAUUUGAUUCUUCGGAUGAAGAUCUUGGUGACUGAGUGGCGGACGGGUGAGUAACGCGUGGGUAACCUGCCUCAUACAGGGGGAUAACAGUUAGAAAUGACUGCUAAUACCGCAUAAGACCACAGCACCGCAUGGUGCAGGGGUAAAAACUCCGGUGGUAUGAGAUGGACCCGCGUCUGAUUAGGUGGUUGGUGGGGUAACGGCCUACCAAGCCGACGAUCAGUAGCCGACCUGAGAGGGUGACCGGCCACAUUGGGACUGAGACACGGCCCAAACUCCUACGGGAGGCAGCAGUGGGGAAUAUUGCACAAUGGGGGAAACCCUGAUGCAGCGACGCCGCGUGAGCGAUGAAGUAUUUCGGUAUGUAAAGCUCUAUCAGCAGGGAAGAAAAUGACGGUACCUGACUAAGAAGCACCGGCUAAAUACGUGCCAGCAGCCGCGGUAAUACGUAUGGUGCAAGCGUUAUCCGGAUUUACUGGGUGUAAAGGGAGCGUAGACGGAGUGGCAAGUCUGAUGUGAAAACCCGGGGCUCAACCCCGGGACUGCAUUGGAAACUGUCAAUCUGGAGUACCGGAGAGGUAAGCGGAAUUCCUAGUGUAGCGGUGAAAUGCGUAGAUAUUAGGAGGAACACCAGUGGCGAAGGCGGCUUACUGGACGGUAACUGACGUUGAGGCUCGAAAGCGUGGGGAGCAAACAGGAUUAGAUACCCUGGUAGUCCACGCCGUANACGAUGACUANU
This 756-nucleotide ribosomal RNA is filed under the name uncultured bacterium. Its description in RNAcentral is "bacterial SSU rRNA". It matches the Rfam family "Bacterial small subunit ribosomal RNA", at positions 60 to 817 of the family's 1533-position model. The record is from RNAcentral.